AUUGAACGCUGGCGGCAGGCCUAACACAUGCAAGUCGAGCGGCAGCGGAAAGUAGCUUGCUACUUUGCCGGCGAGCGGCGGACGGGUGAGUAAUGUCUGGGAAACUGCCUGAUGGAGGGGGAUAACUACUGGAAACGGUAGCUAAUACCGCAUAACGUCGCAAGACCAAAGAGGGGGACCUUCGGGCCUCUUGCCAUCAGAUGUGCCCAGAUGGGAUUAGCUAGUAGGUGGGGUAAUGGCUCACCUAGGCGACGAUCCCUAGCUGGUCUGAGAGGAUGACCAGCCACACUGGAACUGAGACACGGUCCAGACUCCUACGGGAGGCAGCAGUGGGGAAUAUUGCACAAUGGGCGCAAGCCUGAUGCAGCCAUGCCGCGUGUAUGAAGAAGGCCUUCGGGUUGUAAAGUACUUUCAGCGGGGAGGAAGGCGAUAAGGUUAAUAACCUUGUCGAUUGACGUUACCCGCAGAAGAAGCACCGGCUAACUCCGUGCCAGCCGCCGCGGUAA
Molecule: ribosomal RNA, 506 nt
Filed under: uncultured bacterium
Lineage: Bacteria
Description: partial 16S ribosomal RNA
Rfam family: Bacterial small subunit ribosomal RNA
Source: RNAcentral